GUAGGGAAUAUUGCGCAAUGGACGAAAGUCUGACGCAGCGACGCCGCGUGAGUGAUGAAGGCCUUAGGGUCGUAAAGCUCUGUUGAAUGGGAAGAAAAGAAUGACGGUACCAUUCGAGGAAGGACCGGCUAACUUCGUGCCAGCAGCCGCGGUAAUACGAGGGGUCCUAGCGUUGUUCGGAAUCAUUGGGCGUAAAGGGUGUGUAGGUGGCCAUGUAAGUCAGGUGUGAAAGCCCCGGGCUCAACCCGGGAAGUGCACUUGAUAAUGCGUAGCUUGAGUACCGAAGAGGGUAGUGGAAUUCCAGGUGUAGUGGUGAAAUACGUAGAUAUCUGGAGGAACACCGGUGGCGAAGGCGGCUACCUGGUCGAGUACUGACACUGAGACACGAAAGCAUGGGGAUCAAACAGGAUUAGAUACCCUGGUAGUCC
This 428-nucleotide ribosomal RNA is filed under the name uncultured bacterium. RNAcentral's name for it is "bacterial SSU rRNA". It matches the Rfam family "Bacterial small subunit ribosomal RNA", at positions 354 to 796 of the family's 1533-position model. The record is from RNAcentral.